AAUCUUCCACAAUGGGCGAAAUCCUGAUGGAGCAAUGCCCCGUGAAGGAAGAAGGUCUUCGGAUCGUAAAGUUCUGUUAUUAGAGAAGAACAAGUCAAGGAGUAACUGUCUUGACUUUGACGGUACCUAACCAGAAAGUCACGUCUACCUACGUGCCAGCAGCCGCGGGAAUACGUAGGUGACGAGCGUUGUCCUGAAUUAUUGGGCGUAAAGGGAGCGCAGGCGGUUGGAAUAGUCUGAUGUGAAAGCCCUCGGCUUAAACGUGGAAGGUAAUUGGAAACUGUCCAACUUGAAUGCAGAAUAGGAAAGUGGAAUUCCAUGUGUAGCGGUGAAAUGCGUAGAUAUAUGGAGGAACACAAGUGGCGAAGGCGACUUUCUGGCCUGUAAUGGACGAUGAGGCUCGAAAGCGUGGGUAGCAAACA
This 422-nucleotide ribosomal RNA is filed under the name uncultured bacterium. RNAcentral's name for it is "partial 16S ribosomal RNA". It matches the Rfam family "Bacterial small subunit ribosomal RNA", at positions 360 to 774 of the family's 1533-position model. The record is from RNAcentral.